UUUCUGGUCUCGGACAUCGGUCUGCCUCGAACGAGGUACGUACCAGUUGUCUGAAUCCAUCCUCGGGGAAAACAUAUCUGUCAUUCAGUUGAUGGGUAUGGGAUCCUCGUCAUUUACUGUGAGCAAAAUAGAGUGUUCAAAGCAGGCUUAUGCCGUUGAAUACAUUAGCAUGGAAUAAUAAGAUAAGACCUUGGUCUAAUUUUGUUGGUUUGUACUCCAAGGUAAUGAUUAAUAGGGAUAGUUGGGGGUAUUCGUAUUCAAUUGUCAGAGGUGAAAUUCUUGGAUUUAUGGAAGACGAACUACUGCGAAAGCAUUUACCAAGGAUGUUUUCAUUAAUCAAGAACGAAAGUUAGGGGAUCGAAGAUGAUUAGAUACCAUCGUAGUCUUAACCAUAAACUAUGCCGACUAGGGAUUGGUGGACGUU
Molecule: ribosomal RNA, 424 nt
Filed under: Spumella sp. RCC5513
Lineage: Eukaryota; Chrysophyceae; Chromulinales; Chromulinaceae
Description: SSU rRNA
Rfam family: Eukaryotic small subunit ribosomal RNA
Source: RNAcentral